AACACAUGUUAUCUUAACUAGUCGUGUCUUGUCACACCCGUUAUCUUAACGGGUCCUUAACAGGUUGGGUCACUUUACCCAACAGAUAAAGUGACCCAACCCAUUAUGACCCGUUUAAACAUGUUAAGAAAAAUAUUUUUCUUCUUAAAUUUGCACAUACCACACAUUGCCACAUAAAUAUUACUUCAAAACAUUAAAACACAUUUGUUUAAGUAUAUGCACUAUUAGUCUAUUACAAAAUAUUAAAUGUGCAAGGAUAUGCAAAAUGAAAGAGGUUUCGUUAUGAAGGUUGUGAAGCCUUUCUCAAAAGUUUAAACCUUGCCAAUGGAACUCAAUUUUCAUGUUAUUCCUUUUACAAAAUCCUCAAUUUUCAUCGAUCAUCAUGACAUAAGAUUUUGUGGUAUCCACUAGUGUAAAUUUAAUUGAAGAUCGAGUUCAUUCAUUGUAUUCAUAUAGGGUCAAGGAGUGUAGCUGUAAAAAAUCACCAAACUCGAAGUUAAAAUAACCGUUAAAUCGUGAUUUUUCGUUGAUAACCAUCGAAAAGUUUUGUCCGGUUUCUUAAUCUCUGAAUGUUUGGAUUUUGCGAUUUUUGGCGUAUGCGAUCUUGAAGCAUAUACAAAUAAGUUUGACAGUUGGAUCAUUGAAAUUAGUUUCGUAAAAUGCGUAUCCCAUCAAAACGAUAGAUUCACUAACACUUGGAGUUUAUUUAUACUUUCAUUAAGUAUAUCAAAAGAUUUUGUGGUAUCCACUAGUGUAAAUAUUUUAAAUUGAAGAUCGAAUUCAUUCAUUGUAUUGAUAUAGGGUCAAGGAGUGUAGCUACAAAAAUCAUAAAAAUCGGAGUUAAAAUAACCUUUAAAUCAUGAUUUUUCUUUGAUAAUCGACAAAAAGUUUUGUACCGUUACUUGAUCUCUGAAUGUUUAUUUUUUCCAAUUUUUGGCGUAUGGGAUCUCGAAGUAUAUACAAACAUGUUUGACAAUUGGAUCGUUCAAACUAGUUUCGUAGAAUGUGUAUUGUUGGACAUGUGCCCUAAAACCAAUCAUAUGAUGAUACUUUACGGACAUUUCACAUGUUAAACUAAUCUAGUUUAAUAUCAAGGGCAAAGAUUAUUGUUUGAACCGUCUCAUAUAAAUGUUAUACGCUUAAACAAUAAGUCCAAGGAAUAUGUGAUUGGGAGAAUGCGAUCUAAAGAAGUUAGAUUCAUGAGCCCAUUCUUUUGUAGACACAUCCAAAACGUUCCUGAUCAUAGGAUUGCCAAUUGGGCAUUGACAGUCCGUUAAGAUCAGUACGUGCUGUCUUCUCUCAGGGAGAGUGACUAGUCUCGAGUCAUUGGUGUGUGUGACAUCAAGACAAGUACGUAGGUGCUCAAUAGAGAAUGAGUUCACUGAACACGAUCAAUGAAGAGUUCUCAUACUCAUGUCACAUGAGAACUCAUGGUUGGGAUAAUGCAAAGUAGUCCUUUGACCUGAGGC
RNAcentral lists this long non-coding RNA (1469 nucleotides) under Malus domestica (apple). RNAcentral describes it as "long non-coding RNA (MDOM_LNC000475)". Lineage: Eukaryota; Viridiplantae; Streptophyta; Magnoliopsida; Rosales; Rosaceae. The record is from RNAcentral.